ACCACAUCAACAUACUUUUCCUCCUGGGCCACAACAAGCCCAAUUUCCUUCAACAUACAUAGAUCACUACACGCUUGGGCCGAGUUCAUACUUUCCUCCCACAUCCUCUCACUACACAUUUGGAGUAAAUUCUUCAUUACUAGGACCAGGUCCUUCUUCUUCUCCAUAUGCUCGAGGUUACAGUUACUUCAACAACAAUUAUACACCACAUGCAAUGACUGCAAAUCUGCCUCAACCUCCUUCGGCACAGAAGCAUUCAAUCUGGUAUCCAGAUUAGGGAGCUACAAAUC
RNAcentral lists this long non-coding RNA (290 nucleotides) under Lupinus angustifolius (narrow-leaved blue lupine). RNAcentral describes it as "long non-coding RNA (LANG_LNC001433)". The record is from RNAcentral. Lineage: Eukaryota; Viridiplantae; Streptophyta; Magnoliopsida; Fabales; Fabaceae.